Diceros bicornis minor is the source of this 366-nucleotide long non-coding RNA. RefSeq lists it as uncharacterized. Lineage: Eukaryota; Metazoa; Chordata; Mammalia; Perissodactyla; Rhinocerotidae. The transcript has 3 exons. The record is from RefSeq and is a predicted model, not a curated record.
GUGUCAGGCCCCCCAGGGUUGUGCGGAGGUGUGCCAGCCCCCCAGGGGUGUGGGGAGGUGUGCCAGCCCCCCCAUGGGUGUGGGGAGGUGUGCCAGACCCCCCAGGGGUGUGUGGAGGUGUGCCGGGCCCCCAGGGUUGUGUGGAGGUGUGCCGGGCCCCCAGUGGCGUGGGGAGGUGUGCCAGGGCCCCCAGUGGUGUGGGGAGGUGUGCCAGCCCCACCAGGGGUGUGUGGAGGUGUGCCAGCCCCCCCAGGGGGUGUGUGGAGGUGUGCCGGGCCCCCAGGGGUGUGGGGAGGUGUGCCAACACCCCCAGGGGUGUGCGGAGGUGUGCCAGCCCCCCCAGGGGUGUAGGGAGGUGUGCCAGCC